This 258-nucleotide ribosomal RNA is filed under the name uncultured bacterium. Its description in RNAcentral is "partial 16S ribosomal RNA". It matches the Rfam family "Bacterial small subunit ribosomal RNA", at positions 95 to 354 of the family's 1533-position model. The record is from RNAcentral.
CCGGCGCACGGGUGCGUAACGCGUAUGCAACCUACCAUCAACAGGGGGAUAACACUGAGAAAUUGGUACUAAUACCCCAUAAUAUCUCAUGCGGCAUCGCAUGGGGUUGAAAACUCCGGUGGUUGAUGAUGGGCAUGCGUUGUAUUAGCUGGUUGGUGAGGUAACGGCUCACCAAGGCGACGAUACAUAGGGGGACUGAGAGGUUAACCCCCCACAUUGGUACUGAGACACGGACCGAACUCCUACGGGAGGCAGCAG